Molecule: non-coding RNA, 30 nt
Filed under: Mus musculus (house mouse)
Lineage: Eukaryota; Metazoa; Chordata; Mammalia; Rodentia; Muridae
Source: RNAcentral
UCUGCCACUCGAGUGGAUGAAGGUAUAGGA